Molecule: ribosomal RNA, 447 nt
Filed under: uncultured organism
Description: partial 16S ribosomal RNA
Rfam family: Bacterial small subunit ribosomal RNA
Source: RNAcentral
CACUCCUGCGGGAGGCAGCAGUGGGGAAUAUUGGACAAUGGGCGCAAGCCUGAUCCAGCCAUGCCGCGUGAGUGAUGAAGGCCCUAGGGUUGUAAAGCUCUUUCACCGGUGAAGAUAAUGACGGUAACCGGAGAAGAAGCCCCGGCUAACUUCGUGCCAGCAGCCGCGGUAAUACGAAGGGGGCUAGCGUUGUUCGGAUUUACUGGGCGUAAAGCGCACGUAGGCGGACUAUUAAGUCAGGGGUGAAAUCCCGGGGCUCAACCCCGGAACUGCCUUUGAUACUGGUAGUCUUGAGUUCGAGAGAGGUGAGUGGAAUUCCGAGUGUAGAGGUGAAAUUCGUAGAUAUUCGGAGGAACACCAGUGGCGAAGGCGGCUCACUGGCUCGAUACUGACGCUGAGGUGCGAAAGCGUGGGGAGCAAACAGGAUUAGAUACCCUUGUAGUCCCA